Hemicordylus capensis (graceful crag lizard) is the source of this 1037-nucleotide long non-coding RNA. RefSeq lists it as uncharacterized. The transcript is spliced from 3 exons. Lineage: Eukaryota; Metazoa; Chordata; Lepidosauria; Squamata; Cordylidae. The record is from RefSeq and is a predicted model, not a curated record.
AAUUGGUGCGGUGGCCAUUUUGGAGGCUGCCGCACAUGCUCAAAUGGCCUCUGUGAGGCCUGGCAAGGUUUAAAGCCUCUCAGGGACCAUUUGAGCAUGUGCAGUAGCCAUUUUGUUUUUGGCGUUGCACAUGCUCAGUAAUCCUAUAAGCAGGCCAACAUCCCCAUUUGUUAUUCCUUUGUUGCAGAUAGGAAAUUUGCUGGAAGAAAGUCUAACUUAGUGGCAGAGUCCUGGACAGUGGAAUAUGGGGCAACUGAAAUAAGUUGAGAGGGCAGAGAUGUGGAUACUUUUCAUGGAUGGGAUUCAGAAGGAAAUCCUGUCCAUGACAACUGCUAGGCUAGUUAGAUGUUAGGCUAAACAUCUAAGCUUGGACACCUUUUGGAACCACACAAGAGAGACCUACCUCUUUGAACUGGCCUGUGGAAGCAAGUGUGAAACUGGAAAAGGUUAAGAAUAUCAUGUAACACCUUUGGGAUGCACAUGGGAGAUGGCGCUGUAGCUCAGUGAAAGAGCAUCUGCUUUAUAUAUGGAAGAUCCCAAGUUCAAUCGCUGGCAUCUCCAGAUAGGAGAGACUCCUGCCUGAAACCCUGGAAAGCCUCUGCCAGUCUGUGAAGACAAUACUGAGCUAGAUGGACCAAUGGUCUGACUCUGUACAAAGCAGCUUCCUGUGUUCCUAUGUUCACAUAUGCAGCUGCCAUAAAGACAUUGUGCUGUUUUUGUUUUCCACCAUGUACGAGAAUUAAAUCAUUGAUUGGAAUUAAAGUUUCCCUUUUAAGGACUCAGAAGAGACUUUCACUCUCUAAUUAAGACAAUGCAUCUCCUCAUCUUCUCAGGGGAAGAACAUAUGGUAUCCGCUUUCUGGAUGUUCCGGAUGGGAGGAGAACAGCACACUUGCAACUUCAGCACUCACACCCUUCUCCUCCUCCUUUGUUAGAUCCUUCAUUCAUCGGUCUUUUCUUAUUUUCCAUAACAAAUUUCUUUCCUGUUCCUUUGCUUGUCAAUCUUCAGAGAGAAAAUAAAAAUGCAUUUAUCAGCUA